UGAGGAAUAUUGCACAAUGGAGGAAACUCUGAUGCAGCGACGCCGCGUGAGGGAAGAAGGUAUUCGUAUUGUAAACCUCUGUCUUUGGGGACGAAAAAAUGACGGUACCCAAAGAGGAAGCACCGGCUAACUACGUGCCAGCAGCCGCGGUAAAACGUAGGGUGCAAGCGUUGUACGGAAUUACUGGGUGGAAAGGGAGCGCAGGCGGAUCUGUAAGUUGGACGGUGAAUCUACGGGCUUAACCCGUAUCAGCG
RNAcentral lists this ribosomal RNA (254 nucleotides) under uncultured prokaryote. Its description in RNAcentral is "partial 16S ribosomal RNA". It matches the Rfam family "Bacterial small subunit ribosomal RNA", at positions 355 to 625 of the family's 1533-position model. The record is from RNAcentral.